UCCUGGGGGAGAAAGGUGGCCGUCCUGGGGAGAAGGUGUCAAUCCUGGGGAGAAGAUGAGGCCUCCUGGGGGAGAAGGUGUCAGUCUCCUGGGGGAGAAGGUGGCCGUCCCCUGUGGGAGAAGGUGUCAGUCUCCUGGGGGAGAAGAUGGCCGUCCCCUGGGGGAGAAGGUGGCCGUCCCCUGGGGGAGAAGGUGUCAGUCUCCUGGGGGAGAAGGUGUCAGUCCCCUGGGGGAGACGGUGGCCGUCCCGCCGAGAGUCCCACUCUCUCGUUUGUCCUGUCAGGGCUGUGAUGACUUCUGUCCACACGGCAGGAAAGGACAGUAGGGCUUCCACCGGCAGUUUGAGGGGCUGUGAGGGCAGGAGGCGUGAGUCCACACCCUGGUGCCUGGCUGGACCAGGGGCAGGCAGGGUCCCUGGAUCUUGGGGUGAGGGGAGGCCCUGAGUUCGCUGGCUCUGGCUGGACUUCAGGUGGUCUGGGCCACUGGUCUGCGGCCGUGUGAAUGGCCGGGCCCAUCUGGUGCUGCUCGGACAUGAUUGGUCAGUGAUCACCUAUGAGAGCGUGGGCAGAGCUGGGGAUCCCGCUGGGGAGGCGGCAGCUCCUCACAUGCAAAGCCGUGUCUCUGCCCCCGCAGCCGGCACCCACCCCAGCGACUCAGGUCCUUGGGUGUUGGAUGGGACUGCAAGGCGGUGGCCCCGGGCUCCAGACGGCACUUCCCAAAGCAGGUAACUGGAUCUAGAACGUCAGAGGCCAGAGUUGGGUGCAGUGUAGGGGUCCCAGCCCAUCUCUUCACUUGCAGAUGAAGAUGCUGAGUUCUGGAAGGUUCUGUGUUUUGCCCGAGACCCCCACCAGCUGCGGCAGAGCCCUUGCUUUCACCCGUUCUAGACUCUGGCUCCUCUGAAGGUCCUGGGAUCCCGUGCCCUUCAUGGGGGGUACAGCCUGCAUGUCGAUGUCAGGCGCCUGCCCAGUGACUUGGGGCAGAGGUUGGUGUUUCGGUGGCUCUGACACCCAGCCUGUGCCUGGCAUGGAGCUUUGGUUAGUGACGCAUGGACAGGUGCUGGCACCCCUUUGAAAAGCAGCUGAGCAGGGCACAGGCCCUCCCUUCAAAUGCAUCUGGAAGUAGCUGGGGGCGUGGACGGGCGGACAUGAAUUCAGACUGGAUGCCCUCUGGAACAGCCACGUGUCCAGCCACUGUGGGCACAAAGGGGCGGGUGCUCCCAACAUGCAGGUGUGUCCGAGGAUGACCUUGAACCCAGGUUGAAGUUCACACGCUGUUAGCUGCUUGGAGCAUGGGGUGCCCCGCUGACUGGCCCAGGUCUGGGGCAGCCCCGGCCAUUCUGAGGAUGAGGGACCCCGUUUCUGGCUUGUGUUACCUGCUACU
This 1380-nucleotide long non-coding RNA is filed under the name Papio anubis (olive baboon). RNAcentral's name for it is "lncRNA (ENSPANG00000050235.1)". Lineage: Eukaryota; Metazoa; Chordata; Mammalia; Primates; Cercopithecidae. The record is from RNAcentral.